GCAUCGGUAGUGUAAUGGUAACACAGCAGUCUCCAAAACUGCACGAUUAAGGUUCGAGUCCUUACUGAUGUG
RNAcentral lists this transfer RNA (72 nucleotides) under Agathobacter rectalis. RNAcentral describes it as "tRNA-Trp". It matches the Rfam family "tRNA". Rfam says of the family: Transfer RNA (tRNA) molecules are approximately 80 nucleotides in length. Their secondary structure includes four short double-helical elements and three loops (D, anti-codon, and T loops). Lineage: Bacteria; Bacillati; Bacillota; Clostridia; Lachnospirales; Lachnospiraceae. RNAcentral also lists the same sequence under 1 other name. The record is from RNAcentral.